AAGCACACUAACACAGUCACAGCACACAAGCAACAUGUGCACAUUUUUUUUGGCUCUUUCUUCACCUACAGCUGGGAGACCAGUUCCUUGACUUCUGUUAUCUGAAGAAAAUGUAUCAGAGCUGUCGCUCUUCAGACCACAACCAGGUUAAAAGGCUGCCAAAGUGGUCACCUGAAAAGCACAUCACUACCAGGUCCCCAGUUGUACAACGAGGUAAUGAAGUAAAGAUUUACGCCAGAUGAAAAUUUUGAAGCAUGUUUCCUCAAAGUCACUUUAUUUUCAUUCCACAAGGUAUAAAUAAUAUAAAAGCCUGGUUUUUGUUGGCUUAUUUUUAUUUAUUUUCUCUGGUUAUUUGUUGUGCUUCCAUUUAUUUCUCCCUCUGAUUUUAAUUUCUGCUCUAGGAUUCAUUUUGAUUCCAGCUCCCUCAAAUAUUAUGCACAUAAAUUAAGUAGCACUAUUCAGAAAACAGAAAUCUGGGAGUCACCUGCAUAACCCAGCAGCCAGGAAAGGAUGCAAAACAUAGAGAGCACAGAGAAUGAGAAAGAAGUAUUGACAUUUUGAUUAUAUUUCAUUCCAAUGUUGUAAAUGGAACACAGUGGUUCUCAUGUCAUUUCAAAAAAAAAAAAAAAAAAGAUAAAGCAGAUGUUGAAAGGGUCCAAAAUCAUACUUUGAAAAGCAUGACAAAACUGGAAGAAUAUCUAUA
Long non-coding RNA from Oxyura jamaicensis (ruddy duck), 703 nucleotides. RefSeq lists it as uncharacterized. NCBI's taxonomy places the organism in Eukaryota, Metazoa, Chordata, Aves, Anseriformes, Anatidae. The transcript has 2 exons. The record is from RefSeq and is a predicted model, not a curated record.